AUAUGUCUCGCUAAAUUGCAGCCGACACAUCCGCAUAUUUGGUUUUCCCUAAAAUAUUUGAUUGCUCCUUCCAUUAACUGUGACAACGUGCGUUAAGCCUUUGUGGCAUAUAGUAGAUCUCUCUCUGUCUCAGUGUAAAGUGAAGACACUGAAUAAUUGAAGUGCCUUUUGCUCUGAGGUGGAGAGUGAAAACGAGAGAAAGAUAUAUCAAUUAUCCUGGAUUGUCAAGCAGAUAAUGAAAUUCAUGGGUAAAGAAAAAAAAAAUCAGGAGGAGUGGAUUUAUUAGCCUUAUAUCAUGUGCUAAAACAAAACAAACUUGAUGUGUUUUUGCUUCCAGAGAGCAGCAGCUGCUGAUAUGUCGCGCUGAGUUUGUGGAUGGAGAAAACAAAAACUGCAGCCUUUGCAUUUUAUCCCAUUUUCUUCCAGGAAAACUAAACGCUCACAGGGGAGCGUGUGUUGUCACCAUUCCUUUAACAUGGUCAAUUUAUAUUACAGCACUGUUUGUAGAAUUUGCCCCCAAGACUUUUUCAUUUGAUUGUGGAAAUGGCUAAACAGUGCGAGUGGGUGUUGUUGCCUCCGCUCUGCUAUCAGAAGUGGAAUCUAGGAGGAAUUCAGCAAACGUGGAGUGAGUUCAGAGCAGGAAUCGUCAGGAAAAACAGGAGAGAGAAAUGUGUUUGGUGAAGAAAUAAAACUGGCACCCUGCAAAAACAUCAUAAAGAUCCAUAAGUUAAACAAUUAUAUUAAUAAAAUUUGUUUUUGGGUAUUAUUCUAGUCUAGAAUAAACCCCAUAUUCACAAUUCACAACGGUUAAUUUUAUUCCUUUUUAUUAUUCCUUUAAAACUAAAGGAAAGUAAAGAAAGGGAACUAAAGGAACUAAAGAAAGUAACGAAAGCUCCCAUGUGCUACUGUAUGAGAGCUUUAUCUUUCCUGUCCCUCAAUCACAAAACUGACAAUCAAACAAAUCACAUUUUCUUGAAGACCUUCAACACUCUCUACAACCUAUUACAACAUGGUUGGAUCUUUAGGAUCUGGAUUAGGGAAACCUAAUUCAGUAUCAUUACCCUCACUAUGGUGCUACUCUUAGUACAAACCAAAUAUGUUAUUAAUGUUAUGUUUUAUCCAUGAGAUAUGCUACUACACCCUCACUACUCUCUCUUUUACGACCUUCCCAUGGAAAUCCUUCCACAUAUGCCUGUGUUUGCACUAUGCACUAGUCUUCACCCUGAGAUGAGUUUUAGGAUACAAGAAGGUGUCCUUCAAAAGUAUUCAACCCAUGUUCAAGUCCUUCAACCAAUUCUCAAAUUCCUAACUUUAACUGGGCCAUAUAAAUACACAAGAAUGCUGUCAAUUAUAUCACUGUAGCUCUGCCUGCAUGUCUGUGUUUGUUGUCAUGCUUGAAGGUGAACCUCCACCCCAGUCUCAAGUCUUUUGCAGUCUCUAACAGGUUAAUUUCCAGGUUUGUCUUGUAUUUAGCUCCAUUCAUCUUCAAAACACCUUUGACCUUCUUGCAGAUGUUUUUUUGCUAUGUCCCCAACAUAGCUUACAUCAAACUGUAAACAAGACUUCUUAAGACUUUCUUUAAACAAUAUAUUUUUUCUUGCCACUCUACCAUAAUGGCCAGAUUUGUGGAAUGUAUAACUAAUUGUUGUCGUUUCAACAGAUUCACUGACUGUGGCUGUGGCUCUUGGCUGCUUCUCUGAUUAAGCUUCUCCUUGCUUGUCAGUUUAGGUGGAUGGUCAAGUCUUUGUUAGUUUGCAGCUGUGCCAUAAUCCAUUUUCAGAUGAUGGACUGAAUGGUACUUUGUGAGAUGUUCAAUGCUUGGUAUUAUUUUAUAACUUUUGCUUUAAACGUCCCCACAACUUUACCUGUAUCCUUGGUGUUUCUGUUGAUUCUAUUUGUUAAUUUAUGUUCUCCAACAAAUCUCUGAAGUCUUCAUAAAACAGCUGUAUUUAUACUGAGAUUAAAUUACACAUAGUUACACAUCUAUUUAUUUAUUAGGCAGUUGGCUGCACUGUAUUUUAUCUAGGGGUGUCAAAUAAUUAAUUUUCACAACACUUGAAACGUUCACUGUGUGAGAACAUCAACUUGGUUCUUAUUAACUCUCUAAAUACCUUACCAUGUUGAUGCAAAGACCAUCCACAUUCAGAUUUUGUUUGUUUUUCUUAUUUUCUGUCAUAGCUGGUUUUGAUCCAAUUUAAGAGAGUCUUUUUAAACCUGCAAAAAAUGACAAAGACUAAUUGCGGAUAAAAUAUGAAGGAGUGGGUUAACAAGCUGGAUUCAGCUGCAGAUGGAUAUGUUUUAAAGGGUUACAGAGUAAGUGUUACCCUCAUUCAACCAAUGUACAUCUGGUUUUAAAAAUCUUUUAAGGUUUAAAUGAUUCCUCUAUCAAUUCAUGUUUACCCAGAGAUUUCACUUAGUUCUUAUUGAUGUUGGAUGUUUUUGGACCGUCUCUCUUGAAAGUCCUCGCUUUCCUGGUUUUAGAAAGGUUUUGAUACCCAGCUGCUCCAUUUGGACAUAUUUUCCUAGAUCGGGUCCCAUUGUCUCAGUCACUAGAUAUGGCAGCACUAAUCAUUUCUUUCAGAUGUUACUGUGUGCAAUGGUUCUCUCCGAGUACUCAUGCUGUCCGCCACAGUACAAAACAUGACUGUUAGGUAAAUUGGUUUCUAUAAAAAUCCCUCUUUGGUAUGUGGGUGUGCCUGUUUUUUCUCUCUUGUGUGGUUCUGUGUUGCCCUGUGAUGGACUGGCUACCUGUCCAGGGUGUACCUGCAUCUUGUUAUUUGGCCGUUGGAGACAUACAUCCAUGCCCGAUGACCCUGCAUGGAUAAUUUAAUACUGACAAUGGGUGGGCUGGACGGAUAAUAGUUAUUAUGUAAUGAAAGAAAAUGAAAGGACAUAAAGAUGGGAUGUGUGCUCAUGACAAGCAUGUUUCUGAAUACACUCCAGCACACACACUUUAUACAGAUUCAGAAGUAAUAAGUUCAUAAUACAACAAUAAGGUGAACAAAACAACAAUAUACAUCAGACUUAAGGAUACAACAAUACCCACAUAUUUAGUUAUCAAUCUGGUAUUCAUAGCUUUUUUUAAACACAUUUUAUAAAGGUUCCCCUGUCUGAUUUUUCCUGUUUCCAUGAACACAUGCAUACUCUGUAUCUACAGACCUUCACAUUACUACUGGGGGCUUAUAUGUUCUUGAGAUUGAGUGCAUAGAAGUAUUUGGGUGGGACAAAGAAGACCAUCUUACCAGAAUGUACAACAUGCAACAGUAAGUAAUGGUGCAAUCACAUUGCUGGUCCAGUGUUCUGUCAUUUCAGCAUACAAAUCAAAGUAGCCUACAUUGCAUCAAUGUGCAUGCGCACCAAUGCUCAAUGAAGAAAAAAUCUCCCACUUGAAUUUGAGCAUUCAGGUUAGCAUACAGGCAAUAAAAACAGUAAGUACAUAUGUUUUGGAAUUUUUCUUUAGAGAUAACUAUAGAGCUUCCUGGUUUACAAUUUACACGGUUCCGUUACAUCAUUACAGUAUUGCAGUAAUGCAGCCAGACACUUAGGUCCUGUGUACACGACAUUACCUACAUUGCAUUAUUUCAUGAAAUGGUUCAGCUUUAGGACUAAUGUAAUAGUUAGGGGCAUGAUUAAAAUAUUGUCUAAUAAUGUCAAGUUCUUUGUUUACAUAUUGCGGCAAUUUUGUUGGACUUCAUAUGCUGUUAGUUCAAAAAUAAAAAAAAAGCUACAGCUUGCACUUUCCAAAUAGAUUUAUUUUAAUGACCAGUAUUCAAUCUUUGAAGACCUUCCCUACCAUGAUUUUCUCAUUUAUAGAACAAACAUCUUCAAACAAUGGAAAGUAAAUGGGAAAAGAAUUACAAGUAUUUGUCUGAGGGUUCCUAUCCACCAGAGUGCACCAGAGGACAAAGGCAAACCCUCAGGAAAUUUGUCUCUAAAUUUAGCAUUCAUGGUAAGGACUUCAAAUUCAAAGGACACCACACAUUUUCUGUAUUUCAAUGAUUAUUACAUUCUUUAAAUAAAGAUGGAAAGUUGUUCUUUGGAGCUGAGUCUCACUGCAAAGCCUUAAAAUCCAGAGAGGAGGCUGUGAGUCUGAGUUACAUGUAUCGCCCAUGGGAGGACACACAGGCAUCACAAAGAUUUUAUUGGCAUGGUUUAACUACUGACAUGAGAAAUUGGUAUGUAGCCUCAUUGUUAACAUUAUCCUUAAGCUCUAAUGUACAAUCUAUAUAUGUCAAGUAAAACUACAAUCUUCUAGGUUUCUAAAUGUGACCAGUGUCGAAGAGUUGGACCUUCAUUGGGGGUAGUCAAGAUGCUGGAUCGCAUCAAGUUUGCAGAACACUACAUUGAAGAGGAAAGUCUGCAGUCGAUUAGCACUGUAACUGCGGAAAUGUGCCAGGCCCGACUGGACAUUGCAACUACUGAGAAUGUGGAAGACUAUCGUGUCACCUACAACAUGUUGCAAUAUGACGCUGACCUAAGCCUCAUUGAUAUGAUAAAAACACAAUCAUAGCAUUGUAUACUUCCAAAUCAUUACACAUUUGAUUUUAUUACUGUUUUUGUUUGUUUCCACUCCAUAGAUACCAUGUGACAUUUGUCCAUGAUGGACUCACAAAGAAUGUGAUACCCACUUGGUUGGAGACUUUGAGUGCACAAAAUGUAAAUUAAAUUUGUGUUUGAAGAGAGUAGCUACUGUAUAAUAACAUAUCUAGUUUUUAUAUAAUGUAAACUUUAUCUGCUUUAUCUAAAUAUUAUCAUCGUAAAGGCUGUUGA
Long non-coding RNA from Girardinichthys multiradiatus, 4770 nucleotides. RefSeq lists it as uncharacterized. The transcript has 3 exons. NCBI's taxonomy places the organism in Eukaryota, Metazoa, Chordata, Actinopteri, Cyprinodontiformes, Goodeidae. The record is from RefSeq and is a predicted model, not a curated record.